UGGUCAAAAACAUCAAUACCUUUCCAAUUAACACUGAGAAAUUAAGGUUAAGAUUCUCCUUUUGUACUGGGAAACAGGCUGGAGGACUAUGGUCCUCAAGUUUAGACCAAGAGGACUAUGGUCUCAAGGUUCACCAUGAGAAAUGUGUUGAACAUUUUAGUAUGCUCUAUUGUAUAAUUUUUUUGGAGGGGGGGAUGGAGUUUCGCUGUUGUUGCCCAGGCUGGAGUGCAAUAGCACGAUCUUGGCUCACCGCAACCUCUGCCUACCGGGUUCAAGUGAUUCUUGUGCCUCAGCCUCCUGAGUAGCUGGGAUUAUAGGCAU
Molecule: long non-coding RNA, 321 nt
Filed under: Homo sapiens (human)
Lineage: Eukaryota; Metazoa; Chordata; Mammalia; Primates; Hominidae
Description: long non-coding RNA NONHSAT199417
Source: RNAcentral